This 492-nucleotide ribosomal RNA is filed under the name Neochromadora sp. WT2R09. RNAcentral's name for it is "SSU rRNA". It matches the Rfam family "Eukaryotic small subunit ribosomal RNA", at positions 38 to 533 of the family's 1831-position model. Lineage: Eukaryota; Metazoa; Nematoda; Chromadorea; Chromadorida; Chromadoridae. The record is from RNAcentral.
CAAAGAUUAAGCCAUGCAUGUCUAUGCAUAAACCGAAUAUGGUAAAGCCGCGAAUGGCUCAUUACAACAGCCAUAGUUUAUUGGAUCUUAGAAUCCUACUUGGAUACCUGUGGUAAUUCUAGAGCUAAUACACGCAAACAAGCCCCAACCUGACGGGAGGGGCGCAUUUAUUAGAACAAAACCAAUUGGCUUCGGCCAUUUAUUGGUGAAUCUGAAUAACUACGCUGAUCGCACGGUCUCGUACCGGCGACGUAUCCUUCAAGUGUCUGCCUUAUCAACUGUCGAUGGUAGUUUAUAUGACUACCAUGGUUGUAACGGGUAACGGAGAAUAAGGGUUCGACUCCGGAGAGGGAGCCUGAGAAACGGCUACCACAUCCAAGGAAGGCAGCAGGCGCGCAAAUUACCCACUCUCAGAACGAGGAGGUAGUGACGAAAAAUAACGAGACAGUUCUCUAUGAGGUCUGUCAUCGGAAUGGGUACAAUCUAAACCCU